CACUUUUGAAGGCAGAAAUUUAAGGCAUUUUACCGCUGUUUUAAAUUCUUGGUGUGUUGGCAUUUCAGCUCCUCGUGAUUCGUGUUAUUUUCAACCAAAAGACCUCUCUCUCUCACGCACAGAGACAGACCAGUUACAAUACAGAAUACAGAUGGGAGUGAACCCUGUUGCUCUCCAAACAACACAAAAAUAAAAGAGGAAAAGUGAAUAAAGAGUCUGUCUCACUCUGAAAAUCCCUUUGAACAAAAUGCUGUUUUCCUACUUCCAACUCACUGCUCAGUGCUGUGCUGCAUUUCCCCCCUCCCUCUCUCCCUCUGUGAACCAAACACCCCUUACGCUAUUUGGGAUUUUCUUCAAACUAGUGUCUUUGCUCAUGCCGGCAGUGGCACCACAUUUUCACGGAGCAUGGCCUCUCCUCCCAAAAGGUCUCGAAACAGCUGAGCAGAUGCUCACUUCAGAGAUCUGGAGGAGCAGAUCGCUACAUUCGGGUGUUUAGUGAAGAUGUAGAUUGAGAAAUUCAUAAUAUCUAAGGUAGGGAAUGAAGCCUUUGGUCCGCAAAAUGCACAACAAAUAUUGUAAACAUGUUGAUAAUUCUAAUAGUGUGAUUCGAAUGAAACGAAUCAUCUUUCAUGUCUGAGAUUUCUGCUAUUCUAAAAUUUUCCGUUUUUUCAACUCUCACAUUUGUUGUAUCAUUAUCAUAUAUGUACUUCACUUGCUUGAUUCGCA
Molecule: non-coding RNA, 726 nt
Organism: Salvia hispanica
Lineage: Eukaryota; Viridiplantae; Streptophyta; Magnoliopsida; Lamiales; Lamiaceae
Source: RefSeq, a predicted model, not a curated record